UCAUAUAUUGACGAUAGCCUACUGUAC
RNAcentral lists this small RNA (27 nucleotides) under Bombyx mori (domestic silkworm). Its description in RNAcentral is "ovarian small RNA-25979". Lineage: Eukaryota; Metazoa; Arthropoda; Insecta; Lepidoptera; Bombycidae. The record is from RNAcentral.